GGGGUCGUAGCUCAGCUGGGAGAGCGCUUGAAUGGCAUUCAAGAGGUCAGGGGUUCGAUCCCCCUCGACUCCA
Molecule: transfer RNA, 73 nt
Filed under: Acidobacteriota bacterium
Lineage: Bacteria; Pseudomonadati; Acidobacteriota
Also listed under: 2 other names
Description: tRNA-Ala
Rfam family: tRNA
About the family: Transfer RNA (tRNA) molecules are approximately 80 nucleotides in length. Their secondary structure includes four short double-helical elements and three loops (D, anti-codon, and T loops).
Source: RNAcentral